Molecule: ribosomal RNA, 450 nt
Filed under: uncultured bacterium
Lineage: Bacteria
Description: partial 16S ribosomal RNA
Rfam family: Bacterial small subunit ribosomal RNA
Source: RNAcentral
GUGGGGAAUAUUGGACAAUGGGCGAAAGCCUGAUCCAGCCAUGCCGCGUGUGUGAAGAAGGUCUUCGGAUUGUAAAGCACUUUAAGUUGGGAGGAAGGGCAGUAAGUUAAUACCUUGCUGUUUUGACGUUACCGACAGAAUAAGCACCGGCUAACUUCGUGCCAGCAGCCGCGGUAAUACGAAGGGUGCAAGCGUUAAUCGGAAUUACUGGGCGUAAAGCGCGCGUAGGUGGUUCAGCAAGUUGAAGGUGAAAUCCCCGGGCUCAACCUGGGAACUGCAUCCAAAACUACUGAGCUAGAGUACGGUAGAGGGUAGUGGAAUUUCCUGUGUAGCGGUGAAAUGCGUAGAUAUAGGAAGGAACACCAGUGGCGAAGGCGACUACCUGGACUGAUACUGACACUGAGGUGCGAAAGCGUGGGGAGCAAACAGGAUUAGAAACCCGGGUAGUCC